GAAAAUAAAAGGAACGACCUGGAAACUUCUCUGCCUCUUUAGGACCCCAUACCUCUUUGGAUCCAUCCGCGCAAUAUCAGUGCUCAAUAAAUAGUGGGUGGACGAUUGAUGCGGCAGUGUAGCGAGCAGCCAGCGGGAAGUUAAAUGGAUUUCUGACGGCCCAGAUCACAGCCUCUCAGAGUUGGAAGGAACUGGCUGUCUAGGGGACCUCUCCUGCUGAUGUGUGAGUUCUUUCAACAAGUCCUCUCAUCUGCAUUUGUAUGCCUCUCAUGACAGGACGCUCACUGCCACACAGGCCAGCCCGUCUUACUGCCCAGGAGCUCAAAGGGGAGACAGGGCUUCCUUAGGUUUAGUCAAGAGCAUUGCCUCGUAAAUCCCCUAGUGGGUCCUGAUUUGGGGCCUGCAGAAUCACGCAAAAUAAACCCACUUCCUCCUCAGGCUGCACUCCCUGCCUUUACUUAUGGAAAGGAUCACCAUCCUCCAUCUGGUGAUGCCUUGCUUUUUUCUUCACUCAUGAAUGUUUUUCUUUGUUUUAUGUGCUUAUUUACUCCACAAAGACGUAUUAAGCACCUCCUUUGUGCCAGCGACUGUGUGGGGUGCUGGGGUUACAAUGGUGAGUGAGGUAACCAUGAUUCCAGCUCUCAGGAAACCUAAUGACCAAAUGGGGAAGAUAGGUGACAGUGAUGGUGAUGACGAUGGCAAUGGUCAUGAUGGAGAUGAUGGUGAUGGUGAUGAUGGAGGUGAUGGUGAUAAUGGAGGUGAUGGUGAUGGUGAUGACAGAGGUGAUGGUGGUAAUGGAGGUGGUGGCAAUGGUGAUGAUGGAGGUGAUGGAGGUGAUGGUGAUAAUGGAGGUGAUGGUGAUGAUGGAGGUGAUGGCGAUGGUGAUGAUGGAGGUGAU
This 898-nucleotide long non-coding RNA is filed under the name Equus caballus (horse). Its description in RNAcentral is "lncRNA (ENSECAG00000049219.1)". Lineage: Eukaryota; Metazoa; Chordata; Mammalia; Perissodactyla; Equidae. The record is from RNAcentral.